CAUCCUGCAGGCAACAUGGAGAUACUGUGGACCCUUCUCUGUCUAAUGGCAGCUCCCCUGGGUGUGCUGUCUGAUCUGACACUCCGGGAGUCAGGACCGAGCCUGGUGAAGCCCGGAGAGACCCUGUCCCUCACCUGCAGUGUCACAGGAGGUUCUGUAUCCAGUAGCUAUGCUUUGAGUUGGAUCCGGCAGCCUCCUGGGAAAGCUCUACAGUGGAUGGGGAUCUGGGCAGGGGGCACAAUCUAUAACCCAGCCUUCCAGGGCCGCAUCUCCAUCACUGCCAACACAGCCAAGAACCAGUUCUCCCUGCAGCUGAACUCCGUGACCACGGAGGACACGGCCGUGUAUUACUGUGCAAGAGACACAGUGAGAGGGCGUCAGUGGGAGCCCAGACAGAAACCUCCCUGCAGGUGUGUUUUUAACCAGCAGGGGGUGCCCACGACCACCAAGCUCAGAAACCAGCUUCAGGAACAAAUAGUGCGGCUAGGGGUGUGCUUUCUGAGUCUGGUGUGA
This is a non-coding RNA of Chinchilla lanigera (long-tailed chinchilla), 513 nucleotides long. The record is from the annotation of a RefSeq genome assembly. Lineage: Eukaryota; Metazoa; Chordata; Mammalia; Rodentia; Chinchillidae.